This 253-nucleotide ribosomal RNA is filed under the name uncultured bacterium. RNAcentral's name for it is "partial 16S ribosomal RNA". It matches the Rfam family "Bacterial small subunit ribosomal RNA", at positions 524 to 776 of the family's 1533-position model. The record is from RNAcentral.
UACGUAGGGGUCGAGCGUUGUCCGGACUUACUGGGCGUAAAGCGUGGGUAGGUGGUCGGUGAUGUGCCGUGUGAAAGCCCCGCGUUCAUCGGGGGGAGGUCGCGGUAGACACAUUGACUUGAGGCAUACAGAGGGCCGUGGAAUUCCCGGUGUAGUGGUGAAAUGCGUAGAUAUCAGGAGGAACACCGAUUGCGAAGGCAGCUCGCUGGGACGUUACUGACGCUGAGACGCGAAAGCGUGGGGAGCAAACAGG